Long non-coding RNA from Coregonus clupeaformis (lake whitefish), 3758 nucleotides. RefSeq lists it as uncharacterized. The transcript is spliced from 4 exons. NCBI's taxonomy places the organism in Eukaryota, Metazoa, Chordata, Actinopteri, Salmoniformes, Salmonidae. The record is from RefSeq and is a predicted model, not a curated record.
GACCUUUUCAUUAUCAAUAUACAGCCUCUGUUCAAAAUAGCAUCAUAUUCAAUACAUAGUGCACUAGGGGGCGCUGGUCAAAAUACGGUGCCGUUUGGGACACAGCCAUAAAUUCGUAAAAACACAGGCUAUGGGAUAUUAAUUGUGCAAAGCAGCACUAAACUACAACAUAUGUCGUGUGUACAAAUCUGUAAUUCAAGAAAAGAGCUAUGAGAAAAUAUUGAUGAGAAAGUUGCCAAAAUAUGAAAUGAAAACCACGUAUCACUUUUUUAAAUCAUAUAUGUUUUCUCUACAACACCUUUCUUUAUCACACCCCCGCCUGCCCAGCUAGUAUCUGAUCAGGGUUUUAUAUAUACAGGAAAUGACUCAGGACACACUGUACUCUGGAACUUAGUCAGUGGAAAUUACCUAUAUCUUUAAAUGGAUUAUUCUGAAGAUCUGAAGAUCUGUGUGUGUGUGUGUGUGUGUGUGUGCGGUCAUGCGUGACAAACUGGAGAGAUAUUAAAGGUAUAUUCAUAUUCAUAAUUUUGAGGAAAUUACUCAGAACUUAGUCAGUGGAAAUGACCUAUAUCUUAAAUAGCUUAUUCUGAAGAUGUGUGUGUGUGUGUGUGUGUAACCUGAUCUUGGGUGGUGUGUUCAAAGACGUGACUCCUGCUCCUCCUGCUCCUCCUGCUCCUCCUGUUCCUCCUGCUCCUCCUGCUCCACCUGCUCCUCCUGCUCCUCCUGCUCCUCCUGUCCUCUGGGCUGCUCUCCCCUCUCUCUGCCAGCAGCCCUCUCUACUGGGAUGCAGGGGCAACACCUCCACGCACCGCUAUCCAUCUCUCUGUUGACACCUGCUGACCUAAAGAGACAGCACCAGGAGACUACUGUUUACCGAAAGGAAUCUCAACACACACAUACACACAUACGCAGAAGCAAGCACAAAUGCACGCACGAAUGCACUCGCACACACACACACACACAUAUUAGAACACCAUUACAGUCCAUCUCCCAGCAAGUUCGUAUUCAACCUCUAUGCAUAAAUAUUUUGUUUAGCUGGCUCUUGACUUGCAGAGCAGAAACAUAGCGGUGGUGGUCAGCAGAUGAUGAUGAAAGCUGGCAGAGGAGAGGCUGGAACAGAGACACGUAUUGAUUAACGACGCACUGAUUAGCAUCAGAACGAUCUGUGAAUCAGAGUCGGUCAAAGUUAUGUCUGGUUCAUGUUGAAAAAAUGUAUGCCCUAACUGUAAGUUGCUCUGGAUAAGAGCGUCUGCUAAAUUACUAAAAUGUAAAAUGUAAUGUUCAGGUACCUGUUACGGUUAGAGAGAGGAGCUCACUCUCAGAGGAGAAGUUAUGAGAGAAAACAUCAUUCUUAUAAACACAGCUGUAGUUCCCUUGGUGGGAGUCAUCUGUAGCAGGGAAGAGGAAGGCAGCAGAGUGAUUGACAGCUGGCUGGGUCUGGGAUCUGUUGGAGCCGGUGAACGUGAGGAGGAAGGCGCCUCCUGGGUACUGUGGCUGAGUGGAGCAGGUGAUGGUGAAGCUGUGGCCCCUGAACACCUCGGGCCCCGGGUAGCCCCUGGAUACCCCUUCCGUUGAGACAUUCAGGGAGAUAUCAGGCUGGAGCAGGAGAUCCGUAGAAGAGGAUGGAACAUAUAAUGACUUUCCUAAUUUAGAUCUGAUAACAUCAUCAACGUGUAAGUAAGUAGAUGUAGGGCCUACAGCAUCCUGCGUCGGCAGGUUUCUUCUUCGUGGCCAAGAAGGAGGGGGGUCUACGUCCGUGCAUCGACUACAGAGGUCUCAAUUCCAUCACCACCAAGUACCGUUACUCCCUCCCAUUGGUGCCGACCGCCAUCGAACAGCUCCGCGAGGCCUGGUUUUUUAUUUAACUGGACCUGCGGAGUGCCAACAAGUUGAUCCGCAUCCGGGGAGGGGUAUGAAUGGAAAACGGCCUUCAGCAUGAUGUCUGGGUACUACGAGUACUUGGGGAUGCCUUAUGGUUUAGUUAAUGCUCCGUCUGUGUUCCAGGCAUUCGUCAACGAGGUGUUCCGGGACAUGCUUGGGAGUCAGGUGGUUGUGUAUUUCGACGACUUCCUGAUCUACUCAGCCACCUUGGAGGAUCGCCCACGUCCGGGUAGUCCUGGGAUGCCUCCUGGAGAACCAUCUGUAUGUCAAAGCGGAGAAGUGCCAGUUCAAUCAGGCCGCUGUCUUCUUCUUGGGAUACCGUAUCAGCCCACAGGGAGUGGUUAUGGAGGAGAGGAAGGUUGAGGCAGUCAGGUCAUGGCCAGUCCCAACCACCAUAAAAGGACUACAACGAUUUUUGGGGUUUGCCAACUUCUACCGCCGCUUCAUUAAAAACUUAAGCUCCAUCGCCUCUCCUCUCACCUCUCUCCUCAAGGGUGGCCCCCGUAAGUUGGUGUGGCGUCCUGCAGCCGAUGAGGCCUUCCGCCUACUGAAGGUGCGUUUCACAUCCGCCCCGUUGCUAAAACACCCAGAUCCUACGUUGCCCUUCAUGGUGGAGGUGGACGACUCAGAAGUGGGCGUGGGGCCUGUCUUGUGACAACGCCAAGGUAACCCACAAAAUAUUAUCCAUGUGCAUACUACUAAAAAAAAACUGUCUCCUGCAGAGAGGAACUAUAAUGUCGGCAACCGGGAGCUCCUGGCGGUGAAGUUGGCAUUAGAGGAGUGGAGACACUGGCUGUAGGGUGCCAAGGACCCAUUUCUCAUCCUCACCGACCAUCGGAACCUGGAGUACAUACGGACAGCGAGGCGACAGCACCCAAGCAAAGUGGGCCCUUUUCUUCACUAGAUUCAACUUCACCCUGUCAUACCACCCAGGUUCAAACAACAUCAAAGCCGAUGCCCUGUCCCGUCUCCACGAUUCGGGAGAGGUUCCUGUCCUGAGUGCGCCCAUCAUACCACCCCUCCGAAUCGUUACCCCCGUGCUUUGGGAAGUAGAUGCGGACAUCCGCCAGGCUCUGGAGAGGGAACUCGCGCCUACUAUCUGCCCUCCGGCGCGCACCUACGUUCCCACGGAGGUCGCUGAGGCACUGUUCCAGCAGGUCUUCCGACACUAUGGCCUUCCGGAGGACAUCGUCUCCGACCGUGGUCCCCAAUUCACAUCGCUGAUGGAGAGCCUUCAUGGAGAAGCUGGAAGUCACGGUCAGCCUCACAUCCGGGUACCAGCCUCAGACCAACGGGCAGGUAGAGAGGACUAACCAGGAGCUGGGGAGGUUCCUGAGGAGUCACUGCCAGGACCGGCAGGGGGAGUGGACCCGGUUCCUUCCCUUGGCGGAGUAAGCCCAGAACUCACUUUGUCACUCCUCCACCGGGCUGUCUCCCUUCCAAACUUUUUGCUACGUGGUGCACUAAUGAAUAGUGCAAAACAGCGAUGUCUCACAAACUCUAGUCUAGGCCUACUCCAUUUGAUUUGACAGAGAUAAGAACGAGGUAGGUUAUUAAUAUAUGUAGCCUAGUGAUAUGAAUUUUAACUUAAACCAAAUGGGACUAUAUGGGGGUGAAUGUUUAUUAGGCUACUUAAUGAUGCUAAUUUUGCUUUACUGAUGUUUCCAAAGACUUGUUUGCAGGAUUUCAACUAGGCCUACAGUAGCCUACUUCAAACCAAAUGUUUUUUGAAACUGCAAAUGUAUAUGACAUUGAUCAUGUAUUAUCUUGAGCAGUUAGUGUUGCAAUAUGCAUUUGUGUCCCAUACAAAAUACAAAAAAAUAUUGCAGUUUUGAAACUGCAGUAAAAGUGCAGUAACUGCAGUCGCCUGUGGUAUU